ACUCCUACGGGAGGCAGCAGUGGGGAAUAUUGCACAAUGGGCGCAAGCCUGAUGCAGCGACGCCGCGUGGGGAUGACGGCCUUCGGGUUGUAAACUCCUUUCGCUAGGGACGAAGCUUAUUUGUGACGGUACCUGGAGAAGAAGCACCGGCUAACUACGUGCCAGCAGCCGCGGUAAUACGUAGGGUGCGAGCGUUGUCCGGAAUUACUGGGCGUAAAGAGCUCGUAGGUGGUUUGUCGCGUCGUUUGUGUAAGCCCGCAGCUUAACUGCGGGACUGCAGGCGAUACGGGCAUAACUUGAGUGCUGUAGGGGAGACUGGAAUUCCUGGUGUAGCGGUGGAAUGCGCAGAUAUCAGGAGGAACACCGAUGGCGAAGGCAGGUCUCUGGGCAGUAACUGACGCUGAGGAGCGAAAGCAUGGGUAGCGACAGGAUUAGAUACCCUGGUAGCUACGAGU
This 455-nucleotide ribosomal RNA is filed under the name uncultured bacterium. Its description in RNAcentral is "bacterial SSU rRNA". It matches the Rfam family "Bacterial small subunit ribosomal RNA", at positions 335 to 800 of the family's 1533-position model. The record is from RNAcentral.